This 659-nucleotide long non-coding RNA is filed under the name Mus spicilegus (steppe mouse). Its description in RNAcentral is "lncRNA (ENSMSIG00000010098.1)". The record is from RNAcentral. Lineage: Eukaryota; Metazoa; Chordata; Mammalia; Rodentia; Muridae.
GGUCUCUGGAGAGGCUGCAGUGGCUGUUGCCCUUGGUCUUGCUGAUGUCUGUCCUUCAACACCAGCUGACUGAACUUGCCAGUUGUUGAACUCAAGGGAGGUUUACUUGCAGCAGGACUUUGCAUGAGGACAAAGAUGGACCAAGCUCGCCUCCCUCAAGCUCAGAGACUGCAAAUGGACCUAACACCUUACCUGCUGCCACCCAGGCCCAUCCUGGAAGAGUGGAGACCACCGGCAGGCAACAGAUUGGGUAUGCCCCUGGGAUGGAGGUCACCUACUUCUGGACCAUACUUCCCAUCUUUCUCGGCUCAGUGUUCCCAGAUGCGACAUUGUGCAGCUUCUGGAGCCACGUCCACAUUUCAUAGAGUGAGACGUACACAGCUCUGUUCCGCUUUAAAUGAAGGAGCAGAUGCUUACCACCAACGGGGUAAUGACAAGGGUGUUGUCAAAUGAGUCUGCGUGCAAAGUAGAAAGGCUGGGAUGGAAGCAUCUUGAACCAACAAAGAUGGUAAUUUAUUUCAACAAGGCUCUAUUGUGAUUGGCAAUGUGAACUGCACUGGGAGAUAAGCUGGGAGAGUCUGAGACAGACUCGGAGCCUAGGUCUAACGUCCUAUUGCAUGAACUGUAUGUAGAUAGGUUUGUAUCUCACCUACUUUGAG